UCCGAGUUGACCCCGGCAGUCUCCCAUGAGUCCCCACCACUACGUGCUGGCAACAUGGAAUAAGGGUUGCGCUCGUUGCGGGACUUAACCCAACAUCUCACGACACGAGCUGACGACAGCCAUGCAGCACCUGUGCACGUGUCCCGAAGGAGGGCCCCUGUUUCCAAGGGCUUUCACGUGCAUGUCAAGCCCAGGUAAGGUUCUUCGCGUUGCUUCGAAUUAAACCACAUGCUCCGCCGCUUGUGCGGGUCCCCGUCAAUUCCUUUGAGUUUUAACCUUGCGGCCGUACUCCCCAGGCGGAUGACUUAACGCGUUAGCUGCGCCACCGGAACGCUAAGCGCCCCGACAGCUAGUCAUCAUCGUUUACGGCGUGGACUAC
RNAcentral lists this unclassified non-coding RNA (379 nucleotides) under uncultured bacterium. RNAcentral describes it as "contains 16S-23S intergenic spacer region". The record is from RNAcentral.